This is a long non-coding RNA of Phragmites australis (common reed), 326 nucleotides long. RefSeq lists it as uncharacterized. Lineage: Eukaryota; Viridiplantae; Streptophyta; Magnoliopsida; Poales; Poaceae. The transcript is spliced from 3 exons. The record is from RefSeq and is a predicted model, not a curated record.
AGAGUUGUGUGGUUGAGUUUUUGGAGAGGGAGAGAGGAGAGCUUAGCCCUUGUAUUAGAUUUUACUUCUACCUAAGCUUUUGAGGUGCAUUGGAUGAACCGAAUGAGAAGGCUAUCCAAUUUGAAAGAAUUUAGCGAUAGUAGAGAGAAGUGAGAAGAUUCUACCAUUUGGUGGCCUCGAUUUUUCGUAUUAGAAGGUAUGCAUGGAGGCUUACCUUCUAAGUCAAGCAAGUGCAAUAUGGGAAAUAGUUGAUUUAUUGUGAGUCUGUUGCUUCGUUGUGAGUUUUCAUUUUUAGAUGGGAUUUUCAUUUAGUUUUUGGGCUGAAA